Molecule: ribosomal RNA, 210 nt
Filed under: Parahaemophilus parainfluenzae
Lineage: Bacteria; Pseudomonadati; Pseudomonadota; Gammaproteobacteria; Pasteurellales; Pasteurellaceae
Description: Haemophilus parainfluenzae partial 23S ribosomal RNA
Rfam family: Bacterial large subunit ribosomal RNA
Source: RNAcentral
CCGGUUGUGUCGCCAGACGCAUUGCCGGGUAGCUAAGUGCGGAAGAGAUAAGUGCUGAAAGCAUCUAAGCACGAAACUUGCCAAGAGAUGAGUUCUCCCAGAUUAUAAAUCUGUAAGGGUUGUUUAAGACUAAGACGUAGAUAGGUGCGGUGUGUAAGUGUAGUGAUACAUUGAGCUAACGCAUACUAAUUGCCCGAGAGGCUUAACUAU